GAGGGUGUAGCUCAGGGGUAGAGCGCACGCUUAGCAUGCGUGAGGUCCUGGGUUUAAGCUCCAGUACCUCCA
This 72-nucleotide transfer RNA is filed under the name Camelus bactrianus (Bactrian camel). It matches the Rfam family "tRNA". From Rfam's summary of the family: Transfer RNA (tRNA) molecules are approximately 80 nucleotides in length. Their secondary structure includes four short double-helical elements and three loops (D, anti-codon, and T loops). RNAcentral also lists the same sequence under 1 other name. The record is from Rfam by way of RNAcentral. Lineage: Eukaryota; Metazoa; Chordata; Mammalia; Artiodactyla; Camelidae.